AAAGCCCCUUCGGGGGCAAGUAGAGUGGCGCACGGGUGAGUAACACGUAGGUAAUCUACCUUCGGAUGGGGAAUAACAACCGGAAACGGUUGCUAAUACCGCAUAAUGCAGCGGCACCUAAUGGUGACAGUUGUUAAAGCGGGGGAUCGCAAGACCUCGCGUCUGAAGAGGAGCCUGCGGCGGAUUAGCUAGUUGGUAGGGUAACGGCCUACCAAGGCGACGAUCCGUAGCCGGCCUGAGAGGGCGGUCGGCCACACUGACACUGACAUACGGGUCAGACUCCUACGGGAGGCAGCAGUCGGGAAUUUUGGGCAAUGGGCGAAAGCCUGACCCAGCAACGCCGCGUGAAGGAUGAAAUCCCUCGGGAUGUAAACUUCGCAAGAACGGGAAGAAUAAGUCUGCGCGAACAUCGCAGGCGAUGACGGUACCGUUUGUAAGCUCCGGCUAACUCCGUGCCAGCAGCCGCGGUAAUACGGGGGGAGCAAGCGUUGUUCGGAUUUACUGGGCGUAAAGGGCGCGUAGGCGGCCACUGCAAGUCAAUUGUGAAAUCUCCGGGCUUAACUCGGAAAGGUCAACUGAUACUGCAGGGCUAGAGUGCGGAAGGGGCAACUGGAAUUCUCGGUGUAGCGGUGAAAUGCGUAGAUAUCGAGAGGAACACCUGCGGCGAAGGCGGGUUGCUGGGCCGACACUGACGCUGAGUGCGCAAAAGCUAGGGGAGCGAACGGGAUUAGAUACCCCGGUAGUCCUAGCCUUAAACGAUGAAUGCUUGGUGUCUGGGGUUUUAUAGUCCCCGGGUGCCGUCGCUAACGCUUUAAGCAUUCCGCCUGGGGAGUACGGUCGCAAGACUG
This 848-nucleotide ribosomal RNA is filed under the name uncultured Pseudomonadota bacterium. Its description in RNAcentral is "bacterial SSU rRNA". It matches the Rfam family "Bacterial small subunit ribosomal RNA", at positions 71 to 896 of the family's 1533-position model. Lineage: Bacteria; Pseudomonadati; Pseudomonadota. The record is from RNAcentral.